UUUCCGUAGGUGAACCUGCGGAAGGAUCAUUAACGAAUAACUAUGGUGUCUUGGUUGUAGCUGGCUCCUCGGAGCAUGUGCACGCCCGCCAUUUUUAUCUUUCCACCUGUGCACCGACUGUAGGUCUGGAUGACUCUCGUACUCCGGUGCGGAUGCGAGGGUUGCUCUCGGGCUCUCCUCGAAUUUCCAGACUCUACGUCUUUUUACACACCCCAAACGUAUGAUACAGAAUGUAGUCAAUGGGCUUGAUCGCCUAUAAAACACUAUACAACUUUCAGCAACGGAUCUCUUGGCUCUC
RNAcentral lists this unclassified non-coding RNA (298 nucleotides) under plant metagenome. Its description in RNAcentral is "partial contains small subunit ribosomal RNA, internal transcribed spacer 1, and 5.8S ribosomal RNA". The record is from RNAcentral.